Molecule: unclassified non-coding RNA, 368 nt
Filed under: Hevea brasiliensis (rubber tree)
Lineage: Eukaryota; Viridiplantae; Streptophyta; Magnoliopsida; Malpighiales; Euphorbiaceae
Source: RNAcentral
UCUCAGUAGUCCACAGUAGAUGGCGUUCAGAACCAGCCGCGAAGAAUAUUUCCAUCACAGAAAAUGAAUCGAACCUUUUUCAGCAUUUUGUUUUUCUCUCUUUUGAAACGAGUGAUUAUCAGUAUCACCGUACUUUUGGUUACUCGUAUUCUUUUGGACUCUAACUGGGGCUUUUCUUUUGAAGCCGCUUUCUUUGCUCCAUUUCUUACCGACUUGCUCGAUUUUGUUCUUUCUGCCAUGGAUAGAAUUCCUCUUUCCGUCGGAGACGAUCGAAGUGGUGCUAGUUCUUCGAAACAACCUUCUUUUGAUCUCAAUGUACCCGCAGCCGAACAAGCAGUGUAUGAGCAAACGCUGGAGGAAAUAAAAAA